AAAUUGAAGAGUUUGAUCAUGGCUCAGAUUGAACGCUGGCGGCAGGCCUAACACAUGCAAGUCGAGCGGUAGCACAGAGAGCUUGCUCUCGGGUGACGAGCGGCGGACGGGUGAGUAAUGUCUGGGAAACUGCCUGAUGGAGGGGGAUAACUACUGGAAACGGUAGCUAAUACCGCAUAACGUCGCAAGACCAAAGUGGGGGACCUUCGGGCCUCAUGCCAUCAGAUGUGCCCAGAUGGGAUUAGCUAGUAGGUGGGGUAACGGCUCACCUAGGCGACGAUCCCUAGCUGGUCUGAGAGGAUGACCAGCCACACUGGAACUGAGACACGGUCCAGACUCCUACGGGAGGCAGCAGUGGGGAAUAUUGCACAAUGGGCGCAAGCCUGAUGCAGCCAUGCCGCGUGUGUGAAGAAGGCCUUCGGGUUGUAAAGCACUUUCAGCGGGGAGGAAGGCGUUAAGGUUAAUAACCUCAUCGAUUGACGUUACCCGCAGAAGAAGCACCGGCUAACUCCGUGCCAGCAGCCGCGGUAAUACGGAGGGUGCAAGCGUUAAUCGGAAUUACUGGGCGUAAAGCGCACGCAGGCGGUCUGUCAAGUCGGAUGUGAAAUCCCCGGGCUCAACCUGGGAACUGCAUUCGAAACUGGCAGGCUAGAGUCUUGUAGAGGGGGGUAGAAUUCCAGGUGUAGCGGUGAAAUGCGUAGAGAUCUGGAGGAAUACCGGUGGCGAAGGCGGCCCCCUGGACAAAGACUGACGCUCAGGUGCGAAAGCGUGGGGAGCAAACAGGAUUAGAUACCCUGGUAGUCCACGCCGUAAACGAUGUCGAUUUGGAGGUUGUGCCCUUGAGGCGUGGCUUCCGGAGCUAACGCGUUAAAUCGACCGCCUGGGGAGUACGGCCGCAAGGUUAAAACUCAAAUGAAUUGACGGGGGCCCGCACAAGCGGUGGAGCAUGUGGUUUAAUUCGAUGCAACGCGAAGAACCUUACCUGGUCUUGACAUCCACAGAACUUAGCAGAGAUGCUUUGGUGCCUUCGGGAACUGUGAGACAGGUGCUGCAUGGCUGUCGUCAGCUCGUGUUGUGAAAUGUUGGGUUAAGUCCCGCAACGAGCGCAACCCUUAUCCUUUGUUGCCAGCGGUCCGGCCGGGAACUCAAAGGAGACUGCCAGUGAUAAACUGGAGGAAGGUGGGGAUGACGUCAAGUCAUCAUGGCCCUUACGACCGGCUACACACGUGCUACAAUGGCAUAUACAAAGAGAAGCGACCUCGCGAGAGCAAGCGGACCUCAUAAAGUAUGUCGUAGUCCGGAUUGGAGUCUGCAACUCGACUCCAUGAAGUCGGAAUCGCUAGUAAUCGUAGAUCAGAAUGCUACGGUGAAUACGUUCCCGGGCCUUGUACACACCGCCCGUCACACCAUGGGAGUGGGUUGCAAAAGAAGUAGGUAGCUUAACCUUCGGGAGGGCGCUUACCACUUUGUGAUUCAUGACUGGGGUGAAGUCGUAACAAGGUAACCGUAGGGGAACCUGCGGUUGGAUCACCUCCUUACCUUAAAGAA
RNAcentral lists this ribosomal RNA (1548 nucleotides) under Klebsiella pneumoniae. Its description in RNAcentral is "bacterial SSU rRNA". It matches the Rfam family "Bacterial small subunit ribosomal RNA". The record is from RNAcentral. Lineage: Bacteria; Pseudomonadati; Pseudomonadota; Gammaproteobacteria; Enterobacterales; Enterobacteriaceae.